GAGGAUGAAAUGAAACAUAUAUUUGGCAGUUAAUUGAUACUACCACUAGUAUUUAAGCAUCUCAUCUAACACUCUUUCUUACAGGGUUGGAACUUGAAGCCAAGAAGACAAAUGUGGUGACGUUCAGUUUAAAGCUGAUGAGCAGUUGUAACUAGACUUUUUGUUUGCAUAGUCACAUGAAUGUAUGAUGAAGCAGCAGGAUUUCGGAUAACAUCGCGCUGAUGUUUACUUCCUCCCUGUGUCUCUGCAUGUGUGCAAAGUUACACACCCCCCCUGGUCGUGGACUCAUGGUUAAUAUCCUUAAUUUCCUUAGUAUCCCCAACGCCUAGUGCCCUUUGUCUAGUGUCGUCUAGGUACUGCCUGGUUUUGUAGCAUAAGAGUUGAGGUGGGUCGACCGUAAAGAAAAUUUUGUUGUUUCUGCCUUUAUACUUAUUUUUUCUGGGGUGUCGUCUGCUAUGCCCCUUCCUCUCAUGGUUGUCACUUGUAAGAUAUUUAUUCAAACAAUUUGAGAUGGUUCUUUGAAAAGCCUCAAUUCGAGAUUGCUGAGUGUC
RNAcentral lists this long non-coding RNA (551 nucleotides) under Zea mays. Its description in RNAcentral is "drought-responsive long non-coding RNA". Lineage: Eukaryota; Viridiplantae; Streptophyta; Magnoliopsida; Poales; Poaceae. The record is from RNAcentral.